Molecule: ribosomal RNA, 548 nt
Filed under: uncultured bacterium
Lineage: Bacteria
Description: bacterial SSU rRNA
Rfam family: Bacterial small subunit ribosomal RNA
Source: RNAcentral
UAGGGAAUCUUCGGCAAUGGGGGGAACCCUGACCGAGCAACGCCGCGUGAGUGAAGAAGGUUUUCGGAUCGUAAAGCUCUGUUGUUAAGGAAGAACGAGUGUGAGAAUGGAAAGUUCAUACUGUGACGGUACUUAACCAGAAAGGGACGGCUAACUACGUGCCAGCAGCCGCGGUAAUACGUAGGUCCCGAGCGUUGUCCGGAUUUAUUGGGCGUAAAGCGAGCGCAGGCGGUUAGAAAAGUCUGAAGUGAAAGGCAGUGGCUCAACCAUUGUAGGCUUUGGAAACUGUUUAACUUGAGUGCAGAAGGGGAGAGUGGAAUUCCAUGUGUAGCGGUGAAAUGCGUAGAUAUAUGGAGGAACACCGGUGGCGAAAGCGGCUCUCUGGUCUGUAACUGACGCUGAGGCUCGAAAGCGUGGGGAGCGAACAGGAUUAGAUACCCUGGUAGUCCACGCCGUAACGAUGAGUGCUAGGUGUUGGGUCCUUUCCGGGGCUCAGUGCCGCAGCUAACGCAUUAAGCACUCCGCCUGGGGAGUACGACCGCAAGGUU